RNAcentral lists this ribosomal RNA (305 nucleotides) under uncultured bacterium. Its description in RNAcentral is "bacterial SSU rRNA". It matches the Rfam family "Bacterial small subunit ribosomal RNA", at positions 333 to 631 of the family's 1533-position model. The record is from RNAcentral.
CGUAUCCUACGGGGGGCAGCAGUAGGGAAUUUUCGUCAAUGGGCGCAAGCCUGGACGAGCAAUGCCGCGUGAACGAGGAAGGUCUUCGGAUCGUAAAGUUCUGCUGAAGGGGAAAAAGAGCGGAGAGAGGAAAUGAACUCCGAUUGAUAUUACCCUUCGAGGAAGUCACGGCUAACUACGUGCCAGCAGCCGCGGUAAUACGUAGGUGGCGAGCGUUAUCCGGAAUGAUUGGGCGUAAAGGGUGCGUAGGCGGCCUGCUACGUCUGGAGUGAAAGGUACCGGCUCAACCGGUACAGGCUCUGGAA